This 82-nucleotide transfer RNA is filed under the name Caudoviricetes sp. RNAcentral describes it as "tRNA-Leu". It matches the Rfam family "tRNA". Rfam says of the family: Transfer RNA (tRNA) molecules are approximately 80 nucleotides in length. The record is from RNAcentral. Lineage: Duplodnaviria; Heunggongvirae; Uroviricota; Caudoviricetes.
GCCUUCAUGGUGGAAUUGGUAGACACGCUAGACUUAGGAUCUAGUGGCUUCGGCCGUGUGGGUUCGAGUCCCACUGAAGGCA